AUUGAACGCUGGCGGCAGGCCUAACACAUGCAAGUCGAGCGGAUGAGAGGAGCUUGCUUCUGAUUCAGCGGCGGACGGGUGAGUAAUGCCUAGGAAUCUGCCUGGUAGUGGGGGACAACGUUUCGAAAGGAACGCUAAUACCGCAUACGUCCUACGGGAGAAAGCAGGGGACCUUCGGGCCUUGCGCUAUCAGAUGAGCCUAGGUCGGAUUAGCUAGUUGGUGAGGUAAUGGCUCACCAAGGCGACGAUCCGUAACUGGUCUGAGAGGAUGAUCAGUCACACUGGAACUGAGACACGGUCCAGACUCCUACGGGAGGCAGCAGUGGGGAAUAUUGGACAAUGGGCGAAAGCCUGAUCCAGCCAUGCCGCGUGUGUGAAGAAGGUCUUCGGAUUGUAAAGCACUUUAAGUUGGGAGGAAGGGUUGUACGUUAAUACCGUGCAAUUUUGACGUUACCGACAGAAUAAGCACCGGCUAACUCUGUGCCAGCAGCCGCGGUAA
Molecule: ribosomal RNA, 499 nt
Filed under: uncultured bacterium
Lineage: Bacteria
Description: partial 16S ribosomal RNA
Rfam family: Bacterial small subunit ribosomal RNA
Source: RNAcentral